UAUGUUCCAAGUUUAGUU
RNAcentral lists this small RNA (18 nucleotides) under Arabidopsis thaliana (thale cress). RNAcentral describes it as "ATSL140870". The record is from RNAcentral. Lineage: Eukaryota; Viridiplantae; Streptophyta; Magnoliopsida; Brassicales; Brassicaceae.